CGGAUGUAGUUUAGUGGUAGAACUCCAGCUUCCCAAGCUGGCCGUGUGGGUUCGAUUCCCAUCAUCCG
RNAcentral lists this transfer RNA (68 nucleotides) under uncultured Gemmiger sp. It matches the Rfam family "tRNA". Rfam says of the family: Transfer RNA (tRNA) molecules are approximately 80 nucleotides in length. Their secondary structure includes four short double-helical elements and three loops (D, anti-codon, and T loops). Lineage: Bacteria; Bacillati; Bacillota; Clostridia; Eubacteriales; Oscillospiraceae. The record is from RNAcentral.